GAGUUUGAACCUGGCUCAGGAUGAACGCUGGCGGCGUGCCUAACACAUGCAAGUCGAACGAAGCAUCCCUUCCGAUGAAUGGACCAGCUUGCUGGGAAAGGAAUCAAUUGGGAUGACUGAGUGGCGGACGGGUGAGUAACGCGUGGGUAACCUGCCCCAUAGAGGGGGACAACAGCUGGAAACGGCUGCUAAUACCGCAUAGCAGGAAAGAGACGCAUGUCUUUUUCUUCAAAGAUUUAUCGCUAUGGGAUGGACCCGCGUCUGAUUAGCUAGUUGGUAAGGUAACGGCCUACCAAGGCGACGAUCAGUAGCCGGCUUGAGAGAGUGGACGGCCACAUUGGGACUGAGACACGGCCCAGACUUCUACGGGAGGCAGCAGUGGGGAAUAUUGCACAAUGGGGGAAACCCUGAUGCAGCGACGCCGCGUGAGUGAAGAAGUAUUUCGGUAUGUAAAGCUCUAUCAGCAGGGAAGAUAAUGACGGUACCUGACUAAGAAGCCCCGGCUAACUACG
This 512-nucleotide ribosomal RNA is filed under the name uncultured bacterium. RNAcentral describes it as "bacterial SSU rRNA". It matches the Rfam family "Bacterial small subunit ribosomal RNA", at positions 9 to 505 of the family's 1533-position model. The record is from RNAcentral.